This 57-nucleotide transfer RNA is filed under the name Oribacterium sp. RNAcentral's name for it is "tRNA-Arg". It matches the Rfam family "tRNA", at positions 8 to 61 of the family's 71-position model. From Rfam's summary of the family: Transfer RNA (tRNA) molecules are approximately 80 nucleotides in length. Their secondary structure includes four short double-helical elements and three loops (D, anti-codon, and T loops). Lineage: Bacteria; Bacillati; Bacillota; Clostridia; Lachnospirales; Lachnospiraceae. The record is from RNAcentral.
UAGCUCAGCUGGAUAGAGCAACGGCCUUCUAAGCCGUGGGUCGGGGGUUCGAAUCCC